RNAcentral lists this ribosomal RNA (400 nucleotides) under phytoplankton environmental sample. RNAcentral describes it as "partial small subunit ribosomal RNA". It matches the Rfam family "Eukaryotic small subunit ribosomal RNA", at positions 587 to 991 of the family's 1831-position model. The record is from RNAcentral.
AGCUCCAAUAGCGUAUAUUAAAGUUGUUGCGGUUAAAAAGCUCGUAGUUGGAUUUCUGUGGAGGACGGCCGGUCCGCAUUUUGUGCGAGUAUCUGGUACGGCCUUUACAUCCUCUUGUGGAACGUUGCGGUGCUUCAUUGCAUUGCGCGGAAUGCAAGACUUUUACUUUGAGGAAAUUAGAGUGUUCACGGCAGGCAUGCGCCUUGAAUAUAUUAGCAUGGAAUAAUAAUAUAGGCUUUUCGCCCUAUUUUGUUGGUUUCUAGAGCGAAGAGAAUGGUUAAUAGGGAUAAUUGGGGGCACUCGUACUAGAGCGUCAGAGGUGGAAUUCUUAGAUUGCUCUAUGACGAACUACUGCGAAAGCAUUUGCCAAGGAUGUUUUCAUUGAUCAAGAACGAAAGUA